Molecule: non-coding RNA, 149 nt
Filed under: Luteibacter sp. UNCMF366Tsu5.1
Lineage: Bacteria; Pseudomonadati; Pseudomonadota; Gammaproteobacteria; Lysobacterales; Rhodanobacteraceae
Also listed under: 1 other name
Description: FMN riboswitch aptamer (RFN element)
Rfam family: FMN riboswitch aptamer (RFN element)
About the family: The RFN element is a highly conserved domain that is found frequently in the 5'-untranslated regions of prokaryotic mRNAs that encode for flavin mononucleotide (FMN) biosynthesis and transport proteins. This element is a metabolite-dependent riboswitch that directly binds FMN in the absence of proteins. In Bacillus subtilis, the riboswitch most likely controls gene expression by causing premature transcription termination within the 5' untranslated region of the ribDEAHT operon and precluding access to the ribosome-binding site of ypaA mRNA.
Source: Rfam by way of RNAcentral
CAGCGUCUUCAGGGCGGGGUGAGACUCCCCACCGGCGGUAGGUUCCGCGAGGAACGAGCCCGCGAGCGCUCCCGGCCCUUGUCGGGAGGUCAGCAGAUCCGGUGCGAUGCCGGAGCCGACGGUCACAGUCCGGAUGAAAGAAGACGGCG